GCUAGGGCUAGGGUUAGGGUGAGGGACCCCUAGGGUUCGUAGGGUAUGGAGUGGUUGAAAGUGUGUCUCCUGUUAGACUCCAUUGAUUUGUGACGUGAGAGGGGUUUUGGAUUUGCUUGUCUUCAAUGGCAGCUUCAUGGUUGUGGUGGUUUCGACAUGCAUUGAUGAAUGUCUUAAUUCAUUGUUUGUGUUUGUGGGCGCA
Molecule: long non-coding RNA, 202 nt
Filed under: Vigna radiata
Lineage: Eukaryota; Viridiplantae; Streptophyta; Magnoliopsida; Fabales; Fabaceae
Description: long non-coding RNA (VRAD_LNC007431)
Source: RNAcentral